GAUGAACGCUGGCGGCGUGCCUAAUACAUGCAAGUCGAGCGAACGGACGAGAAUCUUGCUUCUCUGAUGUUAGCGGCGGACGGGUGAGUAACACGUGGAUAACCUACCUAUAAGACUUAGAUAACGUCGGGAAACCGGAGCUAAUACCGGAUGAUAUUUUGAACCGCAUGGUUCAAGAGUGAAAGACGGUCUUGCUGUCACUUAUAGAUGUAUCCGCGCUGCAUUAGCUAGUUGGUAAGGUAACGGCUUACCAAGGCAACGAUGCAUAGCCGACCUGUGAGGGUGAUCGGCCACACUGGAACUGAGACACGGUACAGACUCCUACGGGAGGCAGAAGUAGGGAAUCGUCCGCACUGGGCGAAAGCCUGAAGGAGCAACGCCGCGUGAGUGAUGAAGGUCUUCGGAUCGUAAAACUCUGUUAUUAGGGAAGAACAUAUGUGUAAGUAACUGUGCACAUCUUGACGGUACCUAAUCAGAAAGCAACGGCUAACUACGUG
RNAcentral lists this ribosomal RNA (497 nucleotides) under uncultured bacterium. RNAcentral's name for it is "partial 16S ribosomal RNA". It matches the Rfam family "Bacterial small subunit ribosomal RNA", at positions 28 to 507 of the family's 1533-position model. The record is from RNAcentral.